Lontra canadensis (Northern American river otter) is the source of this 1657-nucleotide RNA transcript. It is a transcript of the gene named C-X9-C motif containing 1, with no coding region annotated. NCBI's taxonomy places the organism in Eukaryota, Metazoa, Chordata, Mammalia, Carnivora, Mustelidae. The record is from RefSeq and is a predicted model, not a curated record. The transcript has 6 exons.
AAGGAAGGAAAGCGGCCUGCCGGGUUCUGUGGAGGGCACGGCGCUCCUCCUCCACAGCCUCCUCCUAUUCCUCCCGCGGGAGGCUCCCGGCGGCCGCACGUGCCGCCCAGCCCAGGCUCCUCCCCUCCUCUGCCCCCGCCCGGGAGCGGCCAGGCGCUGCUUUCUCUCCGCCCGCCGAGAUGGCGCUCGACCCCGCAGGGCAGCAUCUCAGACAUGUUGAAAAGGAUGUUUUGAUCCCUAAAAUAAUGAGAGAAAAAGCCCGAGAGAGAUGUUCUGAACAAGUUCAAGAUUUUACCAAAUGUUGCAAGGACUCUGGAAUCCUUAUGGUAGUAAAAUGCCGGAAAGAAAAUUCUGCAUUGAAAGAAUGCCUAACUGCUCAUUAUAAUGAUCCAGCCUUUUAUGAAGAAUGCAAAAUGGAAUACCUGAAGGAAAGGGAAGAAUUCAGAAAAACUGGAAUUCCUACCAAGAAAAGGCUACAGAAGCUUCCCACAAGCAUGUAGGUGUGUCCCUGCUCUGCUUAGGAAUUAGGUUCCAUCUGGGCAGAAUUUCCAUUUCCUUUUAAAGAAGAUGCAGAUUUUAUUUUCACUAAUAGGAGAUCAAGAGGAAGGAGAGAUUGUACUCCCUGGAGUCAGCUGUGUUCAUUGGUCAGAAUAAAUUCCAGCAUCUGACACCAAUUCCAUUAAUCACAGACAAGCCUGAAUAAGUGAGUAAGAUAAUAGAAAGACAAAAAUAUCUGGUGAACAGUGAACAUUGUUUAUGUAUGUAUGCUAUUCAGUUAAUAUAUUAGAGAUCUGAGAUACUCUUUUGAGUUCAAGAUAUUUGAAACUAUCAAAAAGGAUAAAGGCCUCCUACAUGAAACACUUUAUCUCAGGCAAAAGAUGUAUAAGCCAACUAAUACAUUAUAUUACUAAUAUGUUUAUACCACCACCCUGUAAGAAUUUAGAUAGAUUUCUGUGUGAAGCCAUCCUUGUUAUAUGCUUGUUUAUAAAUGAUAGGCCACUUAGAAUCAAAGUCUGGGGACAUUUCAUGAUUGUACUAUAUCAGUACAGCACAGAAUUUGGUUUAUAGAAUUACAUUUCCUAAUUUGGUUAAGGAAAAACACUAUCUCAAUGAGUAAAAUGUUACAUUUCAAAUAAACAAACAAUUUAUAAAUUGCUCUACAUAACUAGCAGGUACAGACCCUGAUGAAAAUGACUUUAUCCAGUUACAUACUUAGAUUUUCAUUAUGGACCACUGAUGGCACAGAUUUAGACUAAAACCUUUGUGGUGCUCUUUCUACUUCUCAUUGAAUACUAUAGAAAUAUAAUAGUUCACACACAUUUUCACUUUUCAGUUAGGAUUUGAGGACAAAGUUGGCUUCGAUGAUCAGGUUAUUUCAAGUCUUAACACUGAUUUAAAAAGUCUUAAACUUUGAAAACACAAUAGCAUACGGAGAUGGAAUAACCUAGAAGAGAUGCUAUUAUUUAACCAUAACACUUUUUGUCUUUAUUCAGUAGAAGGUCAACAGAAACAUAACUUACUCAUUUUGCCAUUUGCUCUUUUUGCAACUUAAAGCAACUUAUAAUUUGUCUCAUAUUAAUGGCCUCUUAUUUUUACGAAUGGAUAUUUACACAUUUCACAUGCUUUAUAAAACCAUGUCCAAGAAAUUUUAAUUCCA